This 468-nucleotide ribosomal RNA is filed under the name uncultured bacterium. RNAcentral's name for it is "partial 16S ribosomal RNA". It matches the Rfam family "Bacterial small subunit ribosomal RNA", at positions 28 to 507 of the family's 1533-position model. The record is from RNAcentral.
GACGAACGCUGGCGGCGUGCUUAACACAUGCAAGUCGAACGGAAAGGCCCUGCUUUUGUGGGGUGCUCGAGUGGCGAACGGGUGAGUGACACGUGAGUAACCUGCCCUUGACUUUGGGAUAACUUCAGGAAACUGGGGCUAAUACCGGAUAGGAGCUCCUGCUGCAUGGUGGGGGUUGGAAAGUUUCGGCGGUUGGGGAUGGACUCGCGGCUUAUCAGCUUGUUGGUGGGGUAGUGGCUUACCAAGGCUUUGACGGGUCGCCGGCCUGAGAGGGGGACCGGCCACAUUGGGACUGAGAGACGGCCCAGACUCCUACGGGAGGCAGCAGUGGGGAAUAUUGCACAAUGGGCGGAAGCCUGAUGCAGCAACGCCGCGUGCGGGAUGACGGCCUUCGGGUUGUAAACCGCUGUCGCCUGUGACGAAGCGUGAGUGACGGUAAUGGGUAAAGAAGCACCGGCUAACUACGUG